UACGGAGGGGGCAAGCGUUGUUCGGAAUUACUGGGCGUAAAGGGCGCGCAGGCGGCUGCUCAAGUCAGGCGUGAAAGGCCUGGGCUCAACCCGGGAAUUGCGCUUGAGACUGGGCUGGCUUGAGUGCGGGAGAGGAUGGUGGAAUUCCCAGUGUAGAGGUGAAAUUCGUAGAUAUUGGGUGGAACACCGGUGGCGAAAGCGGCUCUCUGGUCCGGACCUGACGCUGAGGCGCGAAAGCGUGGGGAGCAAACAGG
This 254-nucleotide ribosomal RNA is filed under the name uncultured bacterium. RNAcentral's name for it is "partial 16S ribosomal RNA". It matches the Rfam family "Bacterial small subunit ribosomal RNA", at positions 524 to 776 of the family's 1533-position model. The record is from RNAcentral.